Molecule: ribosomal RNA, 1197 nt
Filed under: Prevotella sp.
Lineage: Bacteria; Pseudomonadati; Bacteroidota; Bacteroidia; Bacteroidales; Prevotellaceae
Description: partial 23S ribosomal RNA
Rfam family: Bacterial large subunit ribosomal RNA
Source: RNAcentral
AGAAAGUCAAGUAAGAGCGUACGGGGGAUGCCUAGGCUCUCAGAGGCGAGGAAGGACGUGACAAGCUGCGAUAAGCUUCGGGUAGGUGCAAAUGACCUUUGAUCCGAAGAUUUCCGAAUGGGGGAACCCAAUACCUUGAAGAGGUAUUACCAUAGAUAUGGGGCGAACGCGGGGAACUGAAACAUCUAAGUACCCGCAGGAAGAGAAAACAACAGUGAUUCCGCAAGUAGCGGCGAGCGAACGCGGAGGAGCCCAAACCGGUUGUGUUACGGCAUAUCCGGGGUUGUAGGACAGCGACAUCGACAGCGACUUGUUAGAAGAACGGUCUGGAAAGGCCGGCCGCAGAGCGUGAAAGCCGUGUAUUUGAAAGCGAGUUGCGCCGUAGCUGUAUCCUGAGUAGUGCGGGGCCGGAGGAACCCUGUCUGAAUCUGGCGGCACCAUCCGCCAAGGCUAAACACUCCUGAGAGACCGAUAGUGGACCAGUACCGUGAGGGCAAGGUGAAAAGAACCGCUGACAGCGGAGUGCAAUAGAACCUGAAACCGUGCGCUUACAAGCGGUCGGAGCAGCUUUGUGCUGUGACGGCGUGCCUUUUGCAUAAUGAGCCUACGAGUUGCGUCUCGCUGGCGAGGCUAAGACAUUGAAUGUCGUACCCGAAGCGAAAGCGAGUCUGAACAGGGCGUUCAGUCAGCGGGAGCAGACGCGAAACUUUGUGAUCUACCCUUGAGCAGGUUGAAGUUGCCGUAACAGGUGAUGGAGGACCGAACCAAUAGCCGUUGAAAAGGCUCUGGAUGACUUGAGGGUAGGGGUGAAAGGCUAAUCAAACUGAGAGAUAGCUCGUACUCCCCGAAAUGCCUUUAGGGGCAGCCUGGUGUUAGAUUUCAAGAGGUAAAGCUACUGAUAGGAUGCGGGGGCUUCGCCGCCUACCAAUUCCUGACAAACUCAGAAUGCUUGAAAUUGAUGCACCGGAGAGAGGCGACGGGUGCUAAUAUCCGUUGCCGAGAGGGCAAUAACCCAGACCUGCGGCUAAGGUCCCGGAAUUGACGCUAAGUUAGUAAAACGUGGUUGCACUGCAUUGACAGCUAGGAUGUUGGCUUGGAAGCAGCCAUACAUUUAAAGAGUGCGUAACAGCUCACUAGUCGAGCGGUGCUGCAUGGAUGAUGAACGGGUAUAAGCGUCAUACCGAAGCCCAGGAAUAC